GUGCCAGCAGCCGCGGUAAGACGAACCGUGCGAACGUUGUUCGGAUUCACUGGGCUUAAAGGGCGCGUAGGCGGCUUGCCAAGUCAGUGGUGAAAUCUUUCGGCUCAACCGGAAAAUGGCUGCUGAUACUGGCGGGCUGGAGGGAGGUAGGGGCAGAUGGAACUUCCGGUGGAGCGGUGAAAUGCGUAGAUAUCGGAAGGAACGCCGGUGGCGAAAGCGAUCUGCUGGAUCUCUUCUGACGCUGAGGCGCGAAAGCCAGGGGAGCAAACGGGAUUAGAUACCCCCGUAGUCC
This 292-nucleotide ribosomal RNA is filed under the name uncultured bacterium. RNAcentral's name for it is "partial 16S ribosomal RNA". It matches the Rfam family "Bacterial small subunit ribosomal RNA", at positions 505 to 796 of the family's 1533-position model. The record is from RNAcentral.